Molecule: ribosomal RNA, 252 nt
Filed under: uncultured bacterium
Lineage: Bacteria
Description: partial 16S ribosomal RNA
Rfam family: Bacterial small subunit ribosomal RNA
Source: RNAcentral
ACGGAGGGUGCAAGCGUUAUCCGGAUUUAUUGGGUUUAAAGGGUGCGUAGGCGGGCUAUUAAGUCAGUGGUGAAAUCUCUCAGCUUAACUGGGAAACUGCCAUUGAUACUGAUAGCCUUGAAUUUAGUUGAAGUAGGCGGAAUGAGGCAUGUAGCGGUGAAAUGCAUAGAUAUGCCUCAGAACACCGAUCGCGAAGGCAGCUUACUAAACUAACAUUGACGCUGAGGCACGAAAGCGUGGGUAGCAAACAGG